Molecule: non-coding RNA, 98 nt
Organism: Cladorrhinum sp. PSN332
Lineage: Eukaryota; Fungi; Ascomycota; Sordariomycetes; Sordariales; Podosporaceae
Source: the annotation of a GenBank genome assembly
GGGCGUGUGGCUCAGUUGGUAGAGCGCCCGCUUAGCAUCAAACAUUCAGUUCUGAAGCCUCAUGCGGAAGGUCCCCGGUUCGAUUCCGGGCUCGUCCA